Molecule: ribosomal RNA, 521 nt
Filed under: uncultured bacterium
Lineage: Bacteria
Description: bacterial SSU rRNA
Rfam family: Bacterial small subunit ribosomal RNA
Source: RNAcentral
GCGCAAUGGGCGAAAGCCUGACGUAGCAACGCCGCGUGGGGGAUGACGGCCUUCGGGUUGUAAACCUCUUUCGACAGGGACGAAGCUUUCGGGUGACGGUACCUGUAGAAGAAGCACCGGCUAACUACGUGCCAGCAGCCGCGGUAAUACGUAGGGUGUGAGCGUUGUCCGGAUUUAUUGGGCGUAAAGAGCUCGUAGGCGGUUUGUCGCGUCGGCCGUGAAAACCUGCAGCUUAACUGUGGGCGUGCGGUCGAUACGGGCAGACUUGAGUUCGGCAGGGGAGACUGGAAUUCCUGGUGUAGCGGUGAAAUGCGCAGAUAUCAGGAGGAACACCGGUGGCGAAGGCGGGUCUCUGGGCCGAUACUGACGCUGAGGAGCGAAAGCGUGGGGAGCGAACAGGAUUAGAUACCCUGGUAGUCCACGCCGUAAACGUUGGGCGCUAGGUGUGGGGACCAUUCCACGGUUUCUGUGCCGCAGCUAACGCAUUAAGCGCCCCGCCUGGGGAGUACGGCCGCAAGGCU